RNAcentral lists this long non-coding RNA (1050 nucleotides) under Lotus japonicus. Its description in RNAcentral is "long non-coding RNA (LJAP_LNC000834)". Lineage: Eukaryota; Viridiplantae; Streptophyta; Magnoliopsida; Fabales; Fabaceae. The record is from RNAcentral.
AAAAAAUAAUUUUUUAUCAAUUGAUAAUUUUGUCCAUUAAAGUAAUUACUGACACCUCAAAUUGUAAGGACAAAAUAGUUAAAACUGGAGAAAAAUAAACUAGCUCUCCAUUUCUUCGCUAUUUGGGGAGAGGAAAAAAAAGCAUGUGAGGCCACGUAAAAAAACUUUUUCUGCGCUACAGUAAUACGUGCCAAACAGAGAUAGUUAUUUCAACCAGUGUUUUAAAACUCGGCUUGGUCAUCGACUCAGUAGGUACUGAGUUAAUGAGUCACUAGUUCGAAUGCUUGACUCGGUGUAUAUUAAAAAAUUAUAAUAAACAUUAAAUGCUAUAUAAAGUUAAGAUAUAAUAAUUAAAAACAGUUUUAAAAACCAAACCAAUUGGUAGUUCAAUGGUAAAGCUGUCUAGUUUCAAGAAGUCUCGUGCUCAAGUCCCGCAGCAAUAGUUUUUUGAAAAUAAUUAAAAUAUUUUGGAUGAAUGUCUCUAAAGUAGGCCCAAUAAAGUAAAUUAAGAAAAACAGGCCCAAUAAAUGAUCCCAAUAUAGUAAAUUAAAAAAAAGACCCAAUAAAUGACCAUUGCAACGAAAAAAAAAAUGAAAAAAAUGAAAUGGGUGACUCGUCGGUUCAACCAAAACCGGCCGAGCCACAUGUUUGACCAUUGAACCGGCUGAGUCAGACCGGUUCUUAUCGAGUCGCUUGCAAGUCUGAUCCGAUGUGCGGCUCGGACCGGUAAGGUGACCGAGUCCCGGUUCGACGAUUGGACCGGCCGGUCCGAGUCGAGUUUUAAAACACUGGUUUCAACUCUUCACAAGAUCUGUCUUCACUGUCUCUCUCUUGCCAAAAUCACCUACACCAAACGAAGUGUAAAACUUCACAUGAUAUCAAAGAUGCGAUGAGAUCAUAGAUUUAGAUCUUUUGUUAAAAAUGUAAGGUUUUUUUUCCCUAACUUAUAAUAUACCUAAAUCUAAAAUGAUAUUAGUGAUGAAAUCCGAAAGAGGAAGAGGGAGAUGAAGAAAAGGAAGAAGAGGGAAAAUGAUUAAAUUUGACGAAAGG